This 549-nucleotide ribosomal RNA is filed under the name uncultured Glomus. RNAcentral describes it as "SSU rRNA". It matches the Rfam family "Eukaryotic small subunit ribosomal RNA", at positions 548 to 1098 of the family's 1831-position model. The record is from RNAcentral. Lineage: Eukaryota; Fungi; Glomeromycota; Glomeromycetes; Glomerales; Glomeraceae.
UUGGAGGGCAAGUCUGGUGCCAGCAGCCGCGGUAAUUCCAGCUCCAAUAGCGUAUAUUAAAGUUGUUGCAGUUAAAAAGCUCGUAGUUGAAUUUCGGGAUCAGCAGGUUGGUCGUGCCAAUGGUAUGCACUGGCCUUGCUGAUUCCUCCCUCUUGAUGAGCCGUAAUGCCAUUAAUUUGGUGUUGCGGGGAAUCAGGACCGUUACUUUGAAAAAAUUAGAGUGUUUAAAGCAGGCAAGCGCUUGAAUACAUUAGCAUGGAAUAAUGAAAUAGGACGUUUGAUCCUAUUUUGUUGGUUUCUAGGAUUGACGUAAUGAUUAAUAGGGAUAGUUGGGGGCAUUAGUAUUCAAUUGUCAGAGGUGAAAUUCUUGGAUUUAUUGAAGACUAACUACUGCGAAAGCAUUUGCCAAGGAUGUUUUCAUUAAUCAAGAACGAAAGUUAGGGGAUCGAAGACGAUCAGAUACCGUCGUAGUCUUAACCAUAAACUAUGCCGACUAGGGAUCGGAUGCUGUUAAUUUUUUAAUGACUCAUUCGGCGCCUUACGGGAAAC